RNAcentral lists this ribosomal RNA (499 nucleotides) under uncultured eukaryote. RNAcentral describes it as "bacterial SSU rRNA". It matches the Rfam family "Eukaryotic small subunit ribosomal RNA", at positions 271 to 773 of the family's 1831-position model. The record is from RNAcentral.
GUCGGCCCCGCGCCGGCGACUCGCCGAAUGAGUUCUGACCUAUCAACUCGAGACGGCGGGGUAGAGGCCCGCCGCGGUAACGACGGGUAACGGGGAAUCAGGGUUCGAUUCCGGAGAGGGGAGCCCGAGAAACGGCUACCACUUCCAAGGAAGGCAGCAGGCGCGCAACUUACCCUAAUCUCGAUUCGAGGAGGUAGUGACAAGAAAUACCGAUGCGGGACCCUACGGGUGCCGCGUUCGGAAUGAGUACGAUUCGAACCACCUAACGAGGAACGAUCGGAGGGCAAGUCUGGUGCCAGCAGCCGCGGUAAUUCCAGCUCCAAUAGCGUACGUUAAAGUUGCUGCAGUUAAAAAGCUCGUAGUUGAACGUUCGGGUUCCGCGGGACGGGGCCGCCCCGCGAGGGACGGCGCCGCCCCGGGGCUCGUGAUAUCUCAUCUCGCCGCCCGUCGCGAGGCGGACGGAGGGAUGGAUGAGGUUACCUGGAAAAAAAUCGGGGCG